UGUUUGUCUUCCUAAGACCUUAAGCUAAAAUGAACAAUGUUCAUACAUGUAAUGUUUGAUGACUUUCAAUAUUGAAAUGGGAUUCAUUUAAAUUACGAAUCCCAUUGACCCACAAGUGACAGGAAAAUGUGGUAAGAUAACACAACUUAUGUAAACAUAAAGACACAAAAAACACGCCUCAGAAAGAACAGCUGCUGUGGUUUGUGACUUCCUGACAGGCAGUGGUCAUUAAAACUCUAAAAUUGCAGUAACAUUUCAUUAUUUUAUUCAAUUUAACACAAACUGUGAUAAAAAUGUAAAGUGUGAGUGGAUGUUUAUGCACGUGGCAUAUAGCAACCCAAAAUUACAGCUCACUUUGAUUAAACCACUACUGACAGUAAAGGCUUGUUUGGUUUUAUGCAAACUCACUGAGCUCCUCCUUCCUCUCAGGUAUUUAUGAUUUACAUCAGCUGGGAGUGAAGUCACUUCCAAAGCACAGCAUGUCUCCUUUAGCUCUUCUGCUGCUGCUGGCAGCUGGAUCUUGUGUGAUUUGUGAACAGCUGACACAGCCGGACUCUGUAAACGUGCAUCCCGGUCAGCCUCUCACCGUCACCUGCCAGGUAUCUUAUUCUGUUACGAGCUACUGGACCUGCUGGAUCCGACAGGCGGCAGGGAAAGGGAUGGAGUGGUUUGGAUGCAGAGUUGGCUCAACUACGUCCUACAAAGAUUCACUGAAAAAUAAGUUCAGCAUCGACAUAGACUCAUCCAGGAACACAGUGACUCUUAAAGGCCAGAACAUGCAGCCUGAAGACACUGCUGUGUAUUUCUGUGCAAGAGACCGCACCGUAACACAAAGCAUCAGACGACCAGACAAAAACCCCUGAGGCCUUAGAGACACCAGAGGGGGAGCCGCCGCACUGCGAAUAAACCAACGCAUGCCUCAGCUUAGGAAAAUUAGAAAAGAAAGUGAUAAUACAUAUGAAAACUGCAAAUAUUUACAGCCAUAUAAUUUUUUGAUAAAAAGAAACAUACAAAUAAGUUACGUCUUUCAAACAGAUUGUCUUUUGGUGCAGAAUUUGCUUUUUGUUUUCUCCUGUUAUAGAGAUGAUUUACAGUGGGAGUGCUAUGGCGGUAGGCUUUAAACAAGCCUUUUACUUAAGUAAAGGAAAUAUUUGACUUGAUAAAGGUACAUAAUGUUAAAAAGGUUUUCAAAAUUAAGGGUCCAUUCAUG
Non-coding RNA from Poecilia reticulata (guppy), 1210 nucleotides. The record is from the annotation of a RefSeq genome assembly. NCBI's taxonomy places the organism in Eukaryota, Metazoa, Chordata, Actinopteri, Cyprinodontiformes, Poeciliidae.